CAGACAGGCAAGGACGGGAGGCUGCAGAGAAAAUCCGCUCACCUAAGAUUGCGGCAGCCACAUGCAAAGCGGGUCCCAUAUACCGCAGAGAGAAGCUGAUGACAUACCUGGAUCGGCUCUAUACAGCACUGAACGGCAGGAGCUGGAGAGCUCAGAAGCAACACCACUACAACAGCAGACCCCAUGGGGGCGAAAGCAGGAGGGAGAACCCCCUUCUCACUCACGGAAGGGAGAACAUCCCAAGUGUUGGGGCAAGCGCCGCUCACGAAACCGGGUCCAAAAAGCCAACACACAGAACCAGCUGUCAC
Non-coding RNA from Pelobates cultripes (western spadefoot toad), 308 nucleotides. The record is from the annotation of a GenBank genome assembly. NCBI's taxonomy places the organism in Eukaryota, Metazoa, Chordata, Amphibia, Anura, Pelobatidae.